Long non-coding RNA from Candoia aspera, 1691 nucleotides. RefSeq lists it as uncharacterized. Lineage: Eukaryota; Metazoa; Chordata; Lepidosauria; Squamata; Candoiidae. The transcript is spliced from 2 exons. The record is from RefSeq and is a predicted model, not a curated record.
CUUUAAAAGAAAUGAGGCAGAAAUUAAAUGGAAAACUUGACUUAAUACAUGCAUGCUCAAAUGAACCAGAAGUGAGUCAUUGAUUUUUUGCAGAUGUACAGUUGUAUUGUAAGCCACCUUGAGGAUGAUUCAGUUGAAAGCCAGGAUAUAGUAAAAUCUAUCAUCAGCAGGAAUGGUUUUGAGCGCCUUUACUUAAGUUUCUGGAUGUAAUACUCAUUAGAAGUAGUUCAACACAUUAUGUGCCAGAAGAGGGAUUUAUGCAAGAAACUUCCUGUUAGUCUAAGUGACUACAACUCCCAUCAUACUCAAGUUAGAAAGUUGGAGAGCUUCAGAUAUAGGAAAGCUGGUCCAUGGUCAGUACUUAAUGGCCAAGUAACAGCUUUAAUAUAAUGUAGUUAUACCAUUUUAACUCAAGAUGUGGCAGCACUAUUGUUAUGCUAUUACAUUUAUCUAUUACACUUUGAUGCCUUCCGUUAUUUGCUAUUAUUCUACUGUGUUUUACCGGAAAAUUAAAACGAAUGGACUGGACAGUUUUCCUUUGAAAGUACAUUUUAUUGUUUACAAACUACCCAUAGGAAAAAAAUACUGGAGUAUUUAGAUAUGAACUCCACAAAUGCUGACUUCUUUGCCCAUCUCGAUUUCCAUUCUCAAGCUUUGGAUCUCUCUCCAUGUCGGAUGAAUUUCUUCUCGUUGCUCCACUCCCUCCUCCCUGUUUUUCUGCUGCCCAGUUUCAGAAAGGGUGUUCAUCUCCAACAUUAAUAUUUUGUGAGAGGUGCUGGCGAAUGGAAGCUGUUUGUCAAAUCAACCCAUUCACAGUGCACUAUUUAAGCAGCAGCAGUGCAGCUCCAACCUUCGCCAGCCAUCGAACCAAAAUUAAACUGCCGCUUGAUGAAGCAAUUACAUCUCAGAACUUUUUCACGGUUUCACAAGAGUCCAGCAUUUACUUUCGUGAUCGUUUGUUUUCAACAAGCAACACUGCAAGCCUGUUACGGAGAACUAUUAUUUUAUUGGAAUAAGUUCUUAAAAAUAGGUCUCUCAACAUUGCCCGUAAAGCUCCCAAAGAAGGCAAGUGGUUGCAGUCUUGUAUGUUCAGCAAAGUAAAGAAGAAUUCAGUCCAGACUUCUCCGUUGGGAAUCCUAAGGAAUAAGGAAAAAAGUAAAAACUAAAGCAACCUUCCCAGAUGUGGCCAGAUGUGUCUCUUAGGACCAGCCUCACAAGUGGCUUGGAAAGCUGUGUCAACCAUUUCAGCAGAGGAAGUGUAGUUCUAUCCAAAACAGUCUGUACAGUGAAUCCCAAAUCAGAUUUCCUGCUGGCCAAUACCAGCUCUGGGCUGUUGGAUCAACAAUAAAACAUUUCAGUGUAUCCUCAGAUUUCUUUUGGGAUUCAGAAACAGAGACAUACUGUUCUCUCAAACUCUCCAUCCCAUUACCUGCAUUUCUCUUUUCAGUGACACUCUGCAUUGAAUGGCUACUGAACAUGGUGAAAAGUUAACGGAUUCACUAUACUUCUUCUAACCUUGAGGGCCAUUUAUAUGAAAAAUAAAUGUGCUGGAUUAAUCACCUUUUUUGCAUUUAUACUAUUGGCUGUCAUAACUUGAGCUGUUGGAGGGAAUUGCUAAAAAUCCUAACGUUACUUUCUUUAAAGUAUUUCUAUUAGCAUAAUCAGGUUUUAUUAAAAGUGCCUUAAAGUCA